RNAcentral lists this ribosomal RNA (270 nucleotides) under uncultured bacterium. RNAcentral describes it as "partial 16S ribosomal RNA". It matches the Rfam family "Bacterial small subunit ribosomal RNA", at positions 335 to 602 of the family's 1533-position model. The record is from RNAcentral.
UAGCCUACGGGGGGCAGCAGUGAGGAAUAUUGGUCAAUGGCCGGAAGGCUGAACGAGACAAGUCGCGUGAGGGACGACUGCCCUAUGGGUUAUAAACCUCUUUUAUAAGGGAAGAAUAAAUGCUACGUGUAGCAUGAUGCCUGUACCUUAUGAAUAAGCAUCGGCUAACUCCGUGCCAGCAGCCGCGGUAAUACGGAGGAUGCGAGCGUUAUCCGGAUUUAUUGGGUUUAAAGGGUGCGUAGGCGGUUUUUUAUGUUAGUUGUUAAUCGU